Hyaena hyaena (striped hyena) is the source of this 4584-nucleotide long non-coding RNA. RefSeq lists it as uncharacterized. Lineage: Eukaryota; Metazoa; Chordata; Mammalia; Carnivora; Hyaenidae. The record is from RefSeq and is a predicted model, not a curated record. The transcript has 7 exons.
CCCUCCGCACUGGGAUGUCAGCUGGCCGGCCAGGCCCCCUCGGCCGUGCCCUGGCCUUGAGAGCAGCCGCGCGGGCAGCUGGCGGGGACAGGUAUGCGGGGCCAGCUCUUAAAACACCCAUGCACAGCACCGUCCCCGAGCCAGAGCUACAGCCAGUAACCAUCUGUGGGUGCUUGGUGAAAAUACAGCUUCUCACCUCGCUCCUGGACGUUCUGCAUCCACACAGGCGGCACAGGGACCUAUAGCAAGGGCCCCAGGAGCUUCGCACCACCCAGUGCAGUGUGGAAAAGGAACAAAGGGCCCGGCGGCUCAUCUAACUUUCCAGUUGUCAAAGCAAAUUGGAUGCAGAGAGGACGGAGUUGAUGACACAUGAGAACAGAUGUGGACUUAGAGGUUGAGAGAGAAGAAGUAACCUGUCCAAGACUUCACAGCAAGAGCUAGAGCGGCAGUUGGUAGCCAGGUCUCCGGACACAAGGUCUACAACAAUAACAAAACAGUAGUGUGGUAAUGCCUGCAACUCUCACACGUGAUCACACGGCAUCCGUGGUGUGAUGUGAGACCUGCACGCGGCAGGAUUCGGUCUCCGCACAUGAGGAAACAGAAGCUUAGGGACGACAAAGACUUGGCCGAAGGCAGAGAGGAGGAUGCUGGCAAAGGACGGGAUUCUGGGCUGUUCCCGCCUCCAGCUCAGCUCUUGACCCAGCGCACCCAGCUUCAGAUGAGAGAACGUGGCCCUUAGUCCCCCAGAAAUGGCCAAGAAGUGUGGGCACGGGCCGAAUUUCCAGGCCUGCUUAAGAAUACUGUAGGAUGAAAAUGCAAAGGCUAUGUUCUGGAAAAGUCUCAUCAAUGGAAAGGCUCUAAGUUCUUGGCGGCCCCGUCUGUGACAGGGCUUAAUCUCUGUGAGGCCCUGCACCCGUGUCUUGUAUGAGGAAGCCUACUAGUUGUCUGGAAGCAUCUUGGGAACAGUAAAGAUACAUGCGUACCUCAGAACAAUUAAUCUCCGCACGUACUGGUGGCAAGCACGGUCUCUGACACGAAGUGCUCUGCAAACUGUGGCCCUCGAGCAAACGGUCUGUCUUCUACACCAGGUAACGCCACUUGCUGCGAUUAAAACCCACCAGGGGUCACAUUCCACUCCCAGAAAAUUGUUAACACUGACCCAGAAGCUCUCAAAAUGUGUUGUGGGACCCUAAAAAGGUCACAAGCCAGAUCCUGUAGCCACGGAGCCUGACUGAUGAGAUGAUUCUGAUCGCGCAGAGGCCAGUGCCUUCUCAAUGAAGAGGAUCCCCAGCAUGGUUGUGUCCUCAAAGCUGAAGCCACCAAGAGAAAUCAUUCCUCAUUACAAACUGUCCUUUGGGUCGAGGGUGCAAACAUGUCCUUCUCUAAAUGCUGUUCCUGGCAGGAAACUUUGCCACUUGGUCAAUGGACUGAACCCGGGAAGAUGACCGAAUGAUCUGGGAGGCUCUGAAUUCUCCAUCGUUAAUUCACAUGGUCCAAUUCUGCUCAUCAAUUCAGGUAGGUCCAAAAUACCAGUAGGCCAGAGAGUGUGAUGAUGGAAAAGCUCUUACAGAGAAGAAGAUGGGCCAGGGAAAUGGGCAUCCUUAGGUCCAGUCAUGGGAGGAAUUUGGGGUAGAGAAGGCUACUCACGUCAUUAAAAAGCCCACGCUAUGGCAGAGGCUCUGUCGAAUUUCAUCCGGCAAAUCCAACAUCUUUUCAAGGGGAGCAUUAACUCCAUUUCAUGGACUGGAUGACUCGGGCUCAAACAGCCAAUAUUUGCCCAAAGUGAUCCAGUGACAGAACCCCAGUCUUGUCUUAUUCCAACCUCUGCUCUGUCUUCCUGCCAUUGUGAUGGAGAGCCUUGCUUACGAUUUUUUGGAGGAAAUUAGCAGCAUGUUCUGAGGUUUGUGCUUGGAAUACCAGCAGGCUUAAGAGGAUUGCAAGAGCAAUGUCUUUUAGGAUUUUCCAUUUGCAGAAGGCACAAUCCUACAACAAACAGUCAGGACGAAAGAACUGGAGAGAAGUAAAUUAAGGGCUUACAAACACGCGAUCAAGCCUUUGUCUAGAGUAGUGGAGCCAAGAACCCAGCUGACUAACAAAUGCCCAUGGAACACCUACUUUGUGCAGAAGGCCCUGAGGGAUGAUAACCUCUCAGGCUUGGGUCCUCCGAGGCAGACAGACACGGAAGUAGAUAGGGAGAGCUCUGGCCGAUGAGUCAGAAGAUCAGAAUUUGCAAACUUCUCUUCCACUCCCUGGCUGUGUGGCCUUAGACAUGUGAAUGUGCCUCUCUGAGCCUCAGUUAAUGUUUUGUAAGAUGGAGGUGCUAAUUCUCGCUCAAGCACCUCUCAGGUCUGUCAUUCCUGUGGAUGCAUCCCUGAUAAACUCCGGCGUGUGGUAAACUACUCUCCUCUUUAUGACUGUCCCUUGGGCGGACCCACUCUGUGGGCAAGAGGUAUGUUGUUUCUCUUUCCUCGGCACAGGCAUUUGGUGGAUCCGAGAUGAAUGAAGCUGUAAAUCUCUUAUAUCUUAGCUAAAAUAACCUCUUUGAAUGCACAUGGACCUUAACGGGACCUUAAUCUUCCUGCCCUGUUGAUACUUUAAAUAAUAAAGACCUUUUUUUUUUUUUUCCCAAAUAUCCAAACUCCGUGCACUGACCAGGAGUCUGUCGAUCCACAAGACGCUUCAUGGAAAUCAAUUUUGUUUGCAAAACAACUUUAUGGUGUUUUCUAUAAAAGCCAAAUGAAUCCUACAGCCAUCAACCUGGGGAGGACGUUUCUCCUUUUCUGCAGCUCAAUUUUCACAACGGAUAUUCUCAUUUGAUCCACACCACCAAUUAGGCGAGGGUCCUUUGUAACUCCCAGACUCGAAAUAUCCGGGACCGUCAGAUUCAGAAGGGCCCUCGGAGUCACAUAGCCUUGUUCCCGGGUCGUAGAGGAGAAGGUCUGCUGCGGAGUGGGAAGGGACUUGUUCAAGGUCAGAGGACAGAGCUAGUCUUGCAAAGGGGUUGAGUGUCUUUCCCUUAACUCAGUGGAAAUGGCUACUGACCAGGACAUCUCUGGACGAAGCCAGCGGGCCUCUCUGCCUAUCCUGCGUCACCAAACGGAGCCAUGAAGCAGCUUCCUCAUCUGAUGGGUUCCCAGCUCUGUCAAGACUUUUGCCACAUGCUCUCUGAUGCGGCCCUCUGCUCAGACCUUGCAGACAGGGACACACGCUGUGGACAUUCUCACGGUCCAGCUCGUGGCCAGAACAUCAGGGGGCUGGUGUGGCGCCGGUGUUCUCUGCGGGAUGGGCGGAGUGGACUCUCCUUCUCCCCGGACAUGGACUCCCGGGGCCGUGGGAGAGGCGGGAGAGGACUGGUGUCCUGGAGGUCAGGCCUGGCAUCGGUGGCGGAUUGGUGGCCACAGGAGCAGUCCCGAAUGGCCUGUGCGGUACCUUGAUCUGGAACCUGCCGGGGGUUAUUGGCUGCAAUCACAGAUUAGUCAGAUUCCCAGCUGGCGCCUCUGAGCAGGGAGCUGCGGUGAAGAGGCCUGCGACUUCCUUCCUCCUCCGAAACAGGCCUGGAGAGGGAGGCCCUUGCGCUGUAAUUAUAUGUCGGCAGGAAACAAAUAGCUAAGACCUGUCUCUGAGUGAGGAAGGAAGGAAGACAUCCAGGGCUCUGGGGAUUCUUUAUCUUCUGUUCUUGAGGCACUGGAAUAAUAAGAACUACUAUCUACCUUUCAAUCUUUGCCAACCCUGGCGAAGUGGGUAUUAUUAGCCUUAGUCCGAAGAUAAAGGAUAGCGAGUUACCCACGGCUGCGGCGCUACUAGGUCGUGUCGCAGAGCUGGGACUGAAUGACACUUCUGCCUGACUGCAGUCCCUGCUGGUCCCUCUGCCUCAGCUGUAUGUGGUCUGGGCACUUCUUAUGGCUCAGGAUGGCCUCCUUACAUUGCACAGAACGCCUGACCAAGGAGGCUGAAGUCUAGUACACGCUUUCGUCCAUACCUCAUGUGCUCGGACUCGCUUCUGCCCCUGACCAGAGGGAAGGGUACCGCCUCCUGUGCACAGACUCUCUCUGCUCAGAAGCCUGUCCCCACGGGGACACAGCCGCCCGCCAGAGACACCAUUUUGGUACCAUGCAAAGGUACAGUGAUGGCCUAACGUUAGCUGUGGUCAUUGUAACUUCUCUGGGCCUCAGUCUUUUCUCUUGAGAAAGUGAGGAUCUUCUUCCAACCAUCCGCUGCGAGCCCCGGACCAUCCACGCACAGGAUGAGGAACUGAGGCCGGGACUCUGGAAAGUGCCUGUCGGGGAGCCUGGCUCCAGGGUCCUCCCUGCUUGGCUGUCUCCUCUCAAAACUGAUCCAAGCAGAAUGGGUUUCAAUUUCCCAAAUGACUUUCAAUCUUCUAAGGAAGGGUGGAAUAAAGGAGGUAAAGAUGGGGGCCGGGGAGAAAGAUGGCUAACGUGUGGAACACAGAGAUGCGCUAGAGAGAAAGUGGGUGGGAGGGUCUGGGGAUCUCAGAUCUCUUUUUAUUCGGGCAGAAAGGAGGAUGUCUGGGGGCGCGUGGGUGGCUCAGUGUCAUGAUCUUGUGGUUUGUGGAUUUGAGCUCCA